GCGCAGCAGUCGCGCAACCUCUGCAAUACGCGAAAGCGUGACAGGGCUACCCCGAGUGCCGUCCGCUGAGGAUGGCUUUUCUCCGGUGUAGUAAGCCGGAGGAAUAAGGAGAGGGCAAGUCUGGUGUCAGCCGCCGCGGUAAUACCAGCUCUCCGAGUGGUAGGGACGAUUAUUGGGCCUAAAGCGUCCGUAGCCGGCCAAGCAAGUUUCCCGUUAAAUCCAGCGAUCCAAUCGUUGGACUGCGGGAAAUACUGUUUGGCUAGGGGGCGAGAGAGGCCAACGGUAUUCCCGGGGUAGGGGUGAAAUCCCAUAAUCCCGGGAGGACCACCAGUGGCGAAGGCUGUUGGCUAGAACGCGCUCGACGGUGAGGGACGAAAGCUGGGGGAGCGAACCGGAUUAGAUUUGGAAAGGAGAAAUAUCCUUCCACUGAAGACCCGGGUAGUCC
This 445-nucleotide ribosomal RNA is filed under the name uncultured crenarchaeote. RNAcentral's name for it is "partial 16S ribosomal RNA". It matches the Rfam family "Archaeal small subunit ribosomal RNA", at positions 330 to 747 of the family's 1478-position model. The record is from RNAcentral. Lineage: Archaea; Thermoproteati; Thermoproteota.